RNAcentral lists this long non-coding RNA (385 nucleotides) under Struthio camelus australis. RNAcentral describes it as "lncRNA (ENSSCUG00000010568.1)". The record is from RNAcentral. Lineage: Eukaryota; Metazoa; Chordata; Aves; Struthioniformes; Struthionidae.
CCUCUGCAACAGCCACCAUAAACAGCAGAGCCUACGUAGUAUGUUGGGUCUGCUCUGGACAUUUUUAAUCCUGGGUGUCAAUGGGAUAUAUUUUUGCAAUUGAACAUCGUGUUCUGUUUAUGGAGCUUGUCCAGAUGUCUCCCGACGUUCCUUUCCCUCACAGUUCCCACACUACUCCUUCAUCCUUCUUUUUGUCCUUCACUUUGGAUUCCUUUCUGCGCCUCCACCGUGCUAAACGGAGCUGCAGAAGUCCAGGAGAUGAUGACAGGUUCCUGAAGAAAAGGAUCUGCUCCCCUCCAAACGUGGGCCAGAUGAGGAUCCUGGUUGCCUGGAGAUCCUUGCCUUCACUGCCCCCAUGUAGAUACGUGGCUUAUGCCAAUAAUGG